CAGCAGCCGCCACGGUAAUACGAAGGGGGCUAGCGUUGCUCGGAAUCACUGGGCGUAAAGGGUGCGUAGGCGGGUCUUUAAGUCAGGGGUGAAAUCCUGGAGCUCAACUCCAGAACUGCCUUUGAUACUGAAGAUCUUGAGUUCGGGAGAGGUGAGUGGAACUGCGAGUGUAGAGGUGAAAUUCGUAGAUAUUCGCAAGAACACCAGUGGCGAAGGCGGCUCACUGGCCCGAUACUGACGCUGAGGCACGAAAGCGUGGGGAGCAAACAGGAUUAGAUACCCGCGUAGUCCCUGUCUCUUAUAC
Molecule: ribosomal RNA, 304 nt
Filed under: uncultured bacterium
Lineage: Bacteria
Description: partial 16S ribosomal RNA
Rfam family: Bacterial small subunit ribosomal RNA
Source: RNAcentral